GCCAGGGAGGAGCCAAGUACAUAGUCUAUCUAGCCGUUGAUUUUUUUUUAGCAUUUUAGACUUUCACCCGUUUGGUUUUUUGUUUUCUAAUUAAGUCCAUACUUCUAAGGGCUGAUUGAUCCUUCCGAUUCACACCCAAAUGCUCAUCCACUCGGCCUCCCACCCAACUGAUCAAUUGAUACAGUCUCCAGUUACGCACCGGCCGCCAUUGAUCAAUGUAUUGGUCAACUCUACAAAGAAGAGGAAUGACAUUAAACUAUCAAAUGCUCAAAUCUUCCAUUGAUCAUGGAAUGGAAGCAUGAAGGAUUGGACACACUGCAACAAACAUGUCGAUCGACUGAAUACGGGAGGAGUUUGAGCUUGUCCAGCGCCUUGCUAUUAUGCUGCUGCAUGCGGAUCUUUGGAUUCAUUGCCCCC
RNAcentral lists this long non-coding RNA (417 nucleotides) under Brachypodium distachyon (stiff brome). RNAcentral describes it as "long non-coding RNA (BDIS_LNC004396)". Lineage: Eukaryota; Viridiplantae; Streptophyta; Magnoliopsida; Poales; Poaceae. The record is from RNAcentral.